CCUGGGGAGUACGGCCGCAAGGUUAAAACUCAAAUGAAUUGACGGGGGCCCGCACAAGCGGUGGAGCAUGUGGUUUAAUUCGAUGCAACGCGAAGAACCUUACCUGGUCUUGACAUCCACAGAACUUAGCAGAGAUGCUUUGGUGCCUUCGGGAACUGUGAGACAGGUGCUGCAUGGCUGUCGUCAGCUCGUGUUGUGAAAUGUUGGGUUAAGUCCCGCAACGAGCGCAACCCUUAUCCUUUGUUGCCAGCGGUCCGGCCGGGAACUCAAAGGAGACUGCCAGUGAUAAACUGGAGGAAGGUGGGGAUGACGUCAAGUCAUCAUGGCCCUUACGACCAGGGCUACACACGUGCUACAAUGGCAUAUACAAAGAGAAGCGACCUCGCGAGAGCAAGCGGACCUCAUAAAGUAUGUCGUAGUCCGGAUUGGAGUCUGCAACUCGACUCCAUGAAGUCGGAAUCGCUAGUAAUCGUAGAUCAGAAUGCUACGGUGAAUACGUUCCCGGGCCUUGUACACACCGCCCGUCACACCAUGGGAGUGGGUUGCAAAAGAAGUAGGUAGCUUAACCUUCGGGAGGGCGCUUACCACUUUGUGAUUCAUGACUGGGGUGAAGUCGUAACAAGGUAACCGUAGGGGAACCUGCGGUUGGAUCACCUCCUUACCUUAAAGAA
This 671-nucleotide ribosomal RNA is filed under the name Klebsiella pneumoniae. RNAcentral's name for it is "bacterial SSU rRNA". It matches the Rfam family "Bacterial small subunit ribosomal RNA", at positions 872 to 1533 of the family's 1533-position model. Lineage: Bacteria; Pseudomonadati; Pseudomonadota; Gammaproteobacteria; Enterobacterales; Enterobacteriaceae. The record is from RNAcentral.